RNAcentral lists this ribosomal RNA (468 nucleotides) under uncultured bacterium. Its description in RNAcentral is "partial 16S ribosomal RNA". It matches the Rfam family "Bacterial small subunit ribosomal RNA", at positions 28 to 507 of the family's 1533-position model. The record is from RNAcentral.
GAUGAACGCUGGCGGCGUGCUUAACACAUGCAAGUCGAACGGUGAAGGCGGAGCUUGCUCUGCUGGAUCAGUGGCGAACGGGUGAGUAACACGUGAGCAAUCUGCCCCUGACUCUGGGAUAAGCGCUGGAAACGGUGUCUAAUACUGGAUACGAGCUGCGAAGGCAUCUUCAGCAGCUGGAAAGAACUUCGGUCAGGGAUGAGCUCGCGGCCUAUCAGCUUGUUGGUGAGGUAACGGCUCACCAAGGCGUCGACGGGUAGCCGGCCUGAGAGGGUGACCGGCCACACUGGGACUGAGACACGGCCCAGACUCCUACGGGAGGCAGCAGUGGGGAAUAUUGCACAAUGGGCGAAAGCCUGAUGCAGCAACGCCGCGUGAGGGACGACGGCCUUCGGGUUGUAAACCUCUUUUAGCAGGGAAGAAGCGAAAGUGACGGUACCUGCAGAAAAAGCGCCGGCUAACUACGUG